UACGUAGGUGGCAAGCGUUUGUCCGGAUUUACUGGGCGUAAAGAGCGCGCAGGCGGUCGUUCAAGUCGCGUGUGAAAGCCCCCGGCUCAACUGGGGAGGGUCACGCGAUACUGAUCGACUCGAAGGCAGGAGAGGGUAGUGGAAUUCCCGGUGUAGUGGUGAAAUGCGUAGAUAUCGGGAGGAACACCAGUGGCGAAGGCGGCCGGCUGGGCCGGAUCCGACGCUGAGGCGCGAAAGCGUGGGGAGCAAACAGG
RNAcentral lists this ribosomal RNA (254 nucleotides) under uncultured bacterium. RNAcentral's name for it is "partial 16S ribosomal RNA". It matches the Rfam family "Bacterial small subunit ribosomal RNA", at positions 524 to 776 of the family's 1533-position model. The record is from RNAcentral.